CAAAGGUUUGGUCCUGACUUUACUAUCAAUUGUCCCCUAAUUUACACAUGCAAGUCUCCGCCUCCCCGUGAGAAUGCCCUUAAUCUCCUGUCCGGAAUUAAGGAGCAGGUAUCAGGCACAUCAAACACUCACCAGCCCACGACGCCUUGCUUAGCCACACCCCUACGGGUAUUCAGCAGUGAUAGAACUUAAGCCAUAAGUGAAAACUUGACUUAGUUAAGGGGAAGAGGGCCGGUAAAACUCGUGCCAGCCACCGCGGUUAUACGAGAGACCCUAAUUGAUAAAAACGGCGUAAAGCGUGGUUAAGAAAAUAAAAAGAUACGGCCGAACAGAUUCAAAGCAGUUAUACGCAUUCGAAACAACGAAGACCAAGCACGAAAGUUGCCCUAAAAAACUCUGACCCCACGAAAGCCAUAAAACAAACUGGGAUUAGAUACCCCACUAUG
This 446-nucleotide ribosomal RNA is filed under the name Trisopterus luscus. RNAcentral describes it as "partial small subunit ribosomal RNA". Lineage: Eukaryota; Metazoa; Chordata; Actinopteri; Gadiformes; Gadidae. The record is from RNAcentral.